AUCCAGCUGGCGAGUUCCAAAUAGAACGGAACGUGCGUCCUAGAU
Molecule: non-coding RNA, 45 nt
Organism: Schistosoma haematobium
Lineage: Eukaryota; Metazoa; Platyhelminthes; Trematoda; Strigeidida; Schistosomatidae
Source: Rfam